Molecule: long non-coding RNA, 535 nt
Organism: Physella acuta
Lineage: Eukaryota; Metazoa; Mollusca; Gastropoda; Physidae
Source: RefSeq, a predicted model, not a curated record
UUAAAAAAUACAGAUUUUAAACUUUAAAUGACGAUAUAUACACGGAAACAAACUAAUUCUGUUUCAAUUUUUACACCGAUGUAAAGUUCAGUUUUAUAACUACUUUGUGUUGUAAAUUCAAGUAUUUCUGAUUUACGGUCGCGAAGCCGUACCCCCAAUAAACAUAUAACCCUCGAGUCGACUUUCAGCCCCGAGUAAGUUGCUCGCCGAACGGUUUUAAAGGUUGACGACCGAUGAUGCUAAACGGAUUUUACCCUUGCUAGAGCCUUCAAACAAGUUCUGGAGACAUUUACAGUGGCCUAUCCAGAACUUUCCUUACAAGGGAAAGGAAGAAGGCCAUGACCCCACUCCCCCUUACAAUUCCCAAAACAUAUUACUUACUCUUGAUGCUCCACAAGAUCAAGGUUGAGGGAAACAAGACGUACACAGAUGUGGAGUUGUAGUUUUAAAAACUGUUCCCCCAAAGCAGUUAUCAACCGUAUAGGUUUGAAAAGAAACCAAAGCAUGUGGCAUCAACUGCUGCAUCACUUGUAGG